Molecule: non-coding RNA, 148 nt
Organism: Homo sapiens (human)
Lineage: Eukaryota; Metazoa; Chordata; Mammalia; Primates; Hominidae
Rfam family: Metazoan signal recognition particle RNA
About the family: The signal recognition particle (SRP) is a universally conserved ribonucleoprotein. It is involved in the co-translational targeting of proteins to membranes.
Source: Rfam
GCCAGGCAUGGUGGCACGUGCCUGUAGUCCCAGCUACUUGGGAGGCUGAGGCAGGAGAAUUGCUUGAACCCAGGAGUCACAGGUUGCAGUGAGCUGAGAUCACCCCACUGCACUCCAGCCUGGGUGACAGAGCAAGACCCUGUCUCAA